This 312-nucleotide ribosomal RNA is filed under the name uncultured Anaerolineaceae bacterium. RNAcentral's name for it is "bacterial SSU rRNA". It matches the Rfam family "Bacterial small subunit ribosomal RNA", at positions 1056 to 1382 of the family's 1533-position model. The record is from RNAcentral. Lineage: Bacteria; Bacillati; Chloroflexota; Anaerolineae; Anaerolineales; Anaerolineaceae.
CAGCUCGUGUCGUGAGAUGUUCGGUUAAGUCCGCUAACGAGCGCAACCUCGUCGUAUGUUAUAUGUGUCAUACGAGACUGCCGGUAAAAAGCCGGAGGAAGGUGAGGAUGAUGUCAAGUCAGCAUGACCUUUAUAUCCAGGGCUACACACACGCUACAAUGGUCUGUACAAUGGGUAGCCAAGCCGCGAGGCGGAGCCAAUCCUGAAAGCAGGCCUCAGUUCAGAUUUGCAGUCUGCAACUCGACUGCAUGAAGCCGGAGUUGCUAGUAACCGCAGGUCAGCAAUACUGCGGUGAAUACGUUCCCGGGUCUU